This 253-nucleotide ribosomal RNA is filed under the name uncultured Coprococcus sp. RNAcentral describes it as "partial 16S ribosomal RNA". It matches the Rfam family "Bacterial small subunit ribosomal RNA", at positions 524 to 776 of the family's 1533-position model. The record is from RNAcentral. Lineage: Bacteria; Bacillati; Bacillota; Clostridia; Lachnospirales; Lachnospiraceae.
UACGUAGGGGGCAAGCGUUAUCCGGAUUUACUGGGUGUAAAGGGAGCGUAGGCGGCGAUGCAAGUCAGAAGUGAAAGCCCGGGGCUCAACUCCGGGACUGCUUUUGAAACUGUAUGGCUAGAUUGCAGGAGAGGCAAGUGGAAUUCCUAGUGUAGCGGUGAAAUGCGUAGAUAUCACGCAGAACUCCGAUUGCGAAGGCAGCAUACCGGCGCCCAACUGACGCUGAAGCACGAAAGCGUGGGUAUCGAACAGG